UUGCACUUUGCGCAUGUAUGUAACUCUCGUGUUCUAUUUUGCAUAUUUUUGGUAUUGAAAUCGAAGUGUAAGUGCGUCGAGUCGAGCCUUGUGUUCCUCCGCCUUGCUGUUGCGAAUUCACUCCAAAAAUCUCCUUAUUCUGUGUAUUACUACUUUUUGUGAUAGAGACACUUUUGUUUGUGGAAUUUAUGAACUUUGGUGUAAUGCCGAGACGUUGUGCUUUCGGUUGUGCGCUCCGUGAGAUUCCAAUGCAUAGUUUCCCAGAUGCUGUCAAAUUCCUGAGCAGUUUAAAACUUGGGUCAGUCUUGUUGGUAGAAACCCUCAAACAUCUGAUCUUGAAUGUUAUAAGAAGAAGAGAAUUUGUGAUAUACACUUUUCUGACAGACACAGAAAUCAUAAUCAAUGGCUAAGCACAUUGGCAGUUCCGAUGCUUUAUCUGCUUGGACAACUACAGAGUCAAGUAAUCUUAGGACAAGCUUCAUCCACACAACAUUUACUGCCUACAAUAAUACAGCAAGACUGUUUAGAGCCAUAUGUGAGCAACUUUAUUUUAGAAAAAGCAUCAACUUCAACAACAUUCCAACCUGUAGCUGCAGAUGCAUCUCAAGGUGCUUGAUGCUGGAACAUAAUUAUAGUUUUAUUAGCAAGCCUAAAAGAACAGCUGGAAAAGAUCUAAUGGCUCCACAGCGCACAAAGAUCAAGCAUCUUCAAGCAGAAAUAUCGCGCUUGCGAAAAAAAGGACAAUCUUUCAAAGCAAGGUUAAAAGGUGGUGCAGAUCGAUCAAACGAAUUUUGUCAGGAAAAUAUGU
Molecule: long non-coding RNA, 808 nt
Organism: Leptidea sinapis
Lineage: Eukaryota; Metazoa; Arthropoda; Insecta; Lepidoptera; Pieridae
Exons: 6
Source: RefSeq, a predicted model, not a curated record